This 957-nucleotide ribosomal RNA is filed under the name Bacillus safensis. RNAcentral's name for it is "bacterial SSU rRNA". It matches the Rfam family "Bacterial small subunit ribosomal RNA", at positions 119 to 1061 of the family's 1533-position model. Lineage: Bacteria; Bacillati; Bacillota; Bacilli; Caryophanales; Bacillaceae. The record is from RNAcentral.
GGGUAACCUGCCUGUAAGACUGGGAUAACUCCGGGAAACCGGAGCUAAUACCGGAUAGUUCCUUGAACCGCAUGGUUCAAGGAUGAAAGACGGUUUCGGCUGUCACUUACAGAUGGACCCGCGGCGCAUUAGCUAGUUGGUGGGGUAAUGGCUCACCAAGGCGACGAUGCGUAGCCGACCUGAGAGGGUGAUCGGCCACACUGGGACUGAGACACGGCCCAGACUCCUACGGGAGGCAGCAGUAGGGAAUCUUCCGCAAUGGACGAAAGUCUGACGGAGCAACGCCGCGUGAGUGAUGAAGGUUUUCGGAUCGUAAAGCUCUGUUGUUAGGGAAGAACAAGUGCGAGAGUAACUGCUCGCACCUUGACGGUACCUAACCAGAAAGCCACGGCUAACUACGUGCCAGCAGCCGCGGUAAUACGUAGGUGGCAAGCGUUGUCCGGAAUUAUUGGGCGUAAAGGGCUCGCAGGCGGUUUCUUAAGUCUGAUGUGAAAGCCCCCGGCUCAACCGGGGAGGGUCAUUGGAAACUGGGAAACUUGAGUGCAGAAGAGGAGAGUGGAAUUCCACGUGUAGCGGUGAAAUGCGUAGAGAUGUGGAGGAACACCAGUGGCGAAGGCGACUCUCUGGUCUGUAACUGACGCUGAGGAGCGAAAGCGUGGGGAGCGAACAGGAUUAGAUACCCUGGUAGUCCACGCCGUAAACGAUGAGUGCUAAGUGUUAGGGGGUUUCCGCCCCUUAGUGCUGCAGCUAACGCAUUAAGCACUCCGCCUGGGGAGUACGGUCGCAAGACUGAAACUCAAAGGAAUUGACGGGGGCCCGCACAAGCGGUGGAGCAUGUGGUUUAAUUCGAAGCAACGCGAAGAACCUUACCAGGUCUUGACAUCCUCUGACAACCCUAGAGAUAGGGCUUUCCCUUCGGGGACAGAGUGACAGGUGGUGCAUGGUUGUCGUCAGCUC